UGCGUUUUGGAUAACUGCGUUUUGAGCCAAGGAGAAGAUGAGGGAUUUGGGUAUAGGGUUGUGAUCGAUACUUAGUUUUUGGGACGUGUUAGUGCAAUAAUGUUUGUGAGAAGUGGUUCUUCUAUUUACACUGCUGGUGCUGAAGGGAUGAUUUGUGAAAUCGAUUCACUGACAGCAGCAAAGGUUUCUGUUAAGUCUGGAGUUUGUAUAUAUUGAAGUUAGUACAGCAAAUCUUGGUAUUAUU
Molecule: long non-coding RNA, 244 nt
Organism: Rosa chinensis
Lineage: Eukaryota; Viridiplantae; Streptophyta; Magnoliopsida; Rosales; Rosaceae
Exons: 3
Source: RefSeq, a predicted model, not a curated record